AAUAUUAUGUCUGAUAAAAGAAGUAAAUUGUAAAUUUAUAUAUGAAAAUUAUUUUUCUAAUAUUA
RNAcentral lists this transfer RNA (65 nucleotides) under Acropyga butteli. RNAcentral's name for it is "tRNA-Tyr". The record is from RNAcentral. Lineage: Eukaryota; Metazoa; Arthropoda; Insecta; Hymenoptera; Formicidae.